AUUGAACGCUGGCGGCAUGCUUUACACAUGCAAGUCGAACGGUAACAGGUUAAGCUGACGAGUGGCGAACGGGUGAGUAAUGCAUCGGAACGUGCCCGAUCGUGGGGGAUAACGCAGCGAAGGCUACGCUAAUACCGCAUACGAUCUGAGGAUGAAAGCGGGGGACCGUAAGGCCUCGCGCGAUCGGAGCGGCCGAUGUCAGAUUAGGUAGUUGGUGGGGUAAAGGCUCACCAAGCCGACGAUCUGCAGCUGGUCUGAGAGGACGACCAGCCACACUGGGACUGAGACACGGCCCAGACUCCUACGGGAGGCAGCAGUGGGGAAUUUUGGACAAUGGGCGAAAGCCUGAUCCAGCAAUGCCGCGUGCAGGAUGAAGGCCUUCGGGUUGUAAACUGCUUUUGUACGGAACGAAACGGUGAGCUCUAAUACAGUUUGCUAAUGACGGUACCGUAAGAAUAAGCACCGGCUAACUACGUGCCAGCAGCCGCAGUAA
RNAcentral lists this ribosomal RNA (493 nucleotides) under uncultured bacterium. RNAcentral describes it as "partial 16S ribosomal RNA". It matches the Rfam family "Bacterial small subunit ribosomal RNA", at positions 30 to 523 of the family's 1533-position model. The record is from RNAcentral.